GUGAACGCUGGCGGUAGGCCUAACACCUGCCAGUCGCACGGCAGCACAGUAAGAGCUUGCUCUUACGGGUGGCGAGUGGCGGACGGGUGAGGAAUACAUCGGAAUCUACUUUUUCGUGGGGGAUAACGUAGGGAAACUUACGCUAAUACCGCAUACGACCUACGGGUGAAAGCAGGGGAUCUUCGGACCUUGCGCGAUUGAAUGAGCCGAUGUCGGAUUAGCUAGUUGGCGGGGUAAAGGCCCACCAAGGCGACGAUCCGUAGCCGGUCUGAGAGGAUGAUCAGCCACACUGGAACUGAGACACGGUCCAGACUCCUACGGGAGGCAGCAGUGGGGAAUAUUGGACAAUGGGCGCAAGCCUGAUCCAGCCAUACCGCGUGGGUGAAGAAGGCCUUCGGGUUGUAAAGCCCUUUUGUUGGGAAAGAAAAGCAGCAGGUUAAUACCCCGCUGUUCUGACGGUACCCAAAGAAUAAGCACCGGCUAACUUCGUG
This 491-nucleotide ribosomal RNA is filed under the name uncultured bacterium. RNAcentral's name for it is "partial 16S ribosomal RNA". It matches the Rfam family "Bacterial small subunit ribosomal RNA", at positions 29 to 507 of the family's 1533-position model. The record is from RNAcentral.